UACGCGAUGGUCUCGAAAGAGUAAAGUUUUAACGCUUAGGGAAAGGCCUGCGAGGUAUCAGCUAGUUGGUAGGGUAAAGGCCUACCAAGGCGACGACGGGUAUCCGGCCUGAGAGGGCGACCGGACACACUGGGACUGAGACACGGCCCAGACUCCUACGGGAGGCAGCAGUGGGGAAUAUUGCGCAAUGGGCGAAAGCCUGACGCAGCGACGCCGCGUGAGGGAUGAAGGUCUUCGGAUUGUAAACCUCUUUCAGCAGGGACGAAGCGAAAGUGACGGUACCUGAAGAAGAAGCACCGGCUAACUACGUG
This 311-nucleotide ribosomal RNA is filed under the name uncultured bacterium. RNAcentral describes it as "bacterial SSU rRNA". It matches the Rfam family "Bacterial small subunit ribosomal RNA", at positions 167 to 507 of the family's 1533-position model. The record is from RNAcentral.